UGGGGAAUUUUGGACAAUGGGCGAAAGCCUGAUCCAGCAAUGCCGCGUGUGUGAAGAAGGCCUUCGGGUUGUAAAGCACUUUUGUCCGGAAAGAAAUCCUUGGCUCUAAUACAGUCGGGGGAUGACGGUACCGGAAGAAUAAGCGCCGGCUAACUACGUGCCAGCAGCCGCGGUAAUACGUAGGGUGCAAGCGUUAAUCGGAAUUACUGGGCGUAAAGCGUGCGCAGGCGGUUUGCUAAGACCGAUGCGAAAUCCCCGGGCUCAACCUGGGAACUGCAUUGGUGACUGGCAGGCUAGAGUAUGGCAGAGGGGGGUAGAAUUCCACGUGUAGCAGUGAAAUGCGUAGAGAUGUGGAGGAAUACCGAUGGCGAAGGCAGCCCCCUGGGCCAAUACUGACGCUCAUGCACGAAAGCGUGGGGAGCAAACAGGAUUAGAUACCCUGGUAGUCCACGCCCUAAACGAUGUCAACUAGUUGUUGGGGAUUCAUUUCCUUAGUAACGUAGCUAACGCGUGAAGUUGACCGCCU
Molecule: ribosomal RNA, 526 nt
Filed under: uncultured bacterium
Lineage: Bacteria
Description: partial 16S ribosomal RNA
Rfam family: Bacterial small subunit ribosomal RNA
Source: RNAcentral